AGGACGAACGCUGGCGGCGUGCCUAACACAUGCAAGUCGAACGCGCUCCAUUCGGUAGCAAUACUGAUGAAGAGCGAGUGGCGAACGGGUGAGUAGCACGUGAGCAACCUGCCCCGAAGACCGGGACAACACCGGGAAACCGGUGCUAAUACCGGAUAUCCCUAUCGGACCGCAUGAUCUGAUAAGGAAAUGGAUUCCGCUUCGGGAGGGGCUCGCGGCCUAUCAGCUAGUUGGUGAGGUAACGGCCCACCAAGGCAUCGACGGGUAGCUGGUCUGAGAGGACGAUCAGCCACACUGGGACUGAGACACGGCCCAGACUCCUACGGGAGGCAGCAGUGGGGAAUCUUGCGCAAUGGGCGAAAGCCUGACGCAGCAACGCCGCGUGGAGGACGAAGGCUUUCUGAGUUGUAAACUCCUUUCAGCAGGGACGAUAGUGACGGUACCUGCAGAAGAGCACCGGCCAACUACGUGCCAGCAGCCGA
This 482-nucleotide ribosomal RNA is filed under the name uncultured bacterium. RNAcentral's name for it is "SSU rRNA". It matches the Rfam family "Bacterial small subunit ribosomal RNA", at positions 26 to 518 of the family's 1533-position model. The record is from RNAcentral.